AUUGAACGCUGGCGGCAUGCCUUACACAUGCAAGUCGAACGGCAGCACGGGAGCAAUCCUGGUGGCGAGUGGCGAACGGGUGAGUAAAGUAUCGGAACGUGCCCAGUCGUGGGGGAUAACGUAGCGAAAGUUACGCUAAUACCGCAUACGAUCUAUGGAUGAAAGCGGGGGAUCGCAAGACCUCGCGCGAUUGGAGCGGCCGAUAUCAGAUUAGGUAGUUGGUGGGGUAAAGGCUCACCAAGCCGACGAUCGGUAGCUGGUCUGAGAGGACGGCCAGCCACACUGGGACUGAGACACGGCCCAGACUCCUACGGGAGGCAGCAUUGGGUAAUUUUGGACAAUGGGCGAAAGCCGAUCCAGCCAUGCCGCGUGCAGGAUGAAGGCCUUCGGGUUGUAAACUGCUUUUGUACGGAACGAAAAGGUUUGGCCUAAUAAGCUGAGCUCAUGACGGUACCGUAAGAAUAAGCACCGGCUAACUACGUGCCAGCAGCCGCAGUAA
RNAcentral lists this ribosomal RNA (499 nucleotides) under uncultured bacterium. RNAcentral describes it as "partial 16S ribosomal RNA". It matches the Rfam family "Bacterial small subunit ribosomal RNA", at positions 30 to 523 of the family's 1533-position model. The record is from RNAcentral.